RNAcentral lists this ribosomal RNA (441 nucleotides) under uncultured bacterium. RNAcentral's name for it is "partial 16S ribosomal RNA". It matches the Rfam family "Bacterial small subunit ribosomal RNA", at positions 338 to 795 of the family's 1533-position model. The record is from RNAcentral.
CCUACGGGUGGCAGCAGUGGGGAAUAUUGCACAAUGGGGGAAACCCUGAUGCAGCAACGCCGCGUGGGUGAAGGAGCGUUUCGGCGCGUAAAGCCCUGUCAGCGGGGAAGAAGAAAGACGGUACCCGACCAAGAAGCCCCGGCUAACUACGUGCCAGCAGCCGCGGUAAUACGUAGGGUGCGAGCGUUAAUCGGAAUUACUGGGCGUAAAGCGCUCGUAGGCGGUAUGUCAAGUCAAGGGUGAAAUCCCCGCGCUCAACGUGGGAACUGCCUUUGAAACUGGCAAACUGGAGUGUGUGAGAGGAUAGUGGAAUUCCAGGUGUAGGAGUGAAAUCCGUAGAUAUCUGGAGGAACAUCAGUGGCGAAGGCGACUAUCUGGCACAUAACUGAUGCUGAGGAGCGAAAGCGUGGGUAGCAAACAGGAUUAGAUACCCUGGUAGUC